Molecule: ribosomal RNA, 433 nt
Filed under: uncultured bacterium
Lineage: Bacteria
Description: partial 16S ribosomal RNA
Rfam family: Bacterial small subunit ribosomal RNA
Source: RNAcentral
GACGAACGCUGGCGGCGUGCCUAACACAUGCCAGUCGAACGAAACGUUCCGGCCUUGGGGCGCAUGGCUGCGUGAGCCCUGGGGAGCUUCCCCUUGGUUCCGAAUAACUCCCCGAAAGGGGUGCUCAUACCAGAUAAUGUCUUCCCACCAAAGAUUUAUUGCCUUGGGAUGGGCCCGCGUUGGAUUAGCUUGUUGGUAGGGUAAAAGCAUACCAAGGCGACGAUUCAUAGCUGGUUUGAGAGGAUGAUCAGCCACACUGGGACUGAGACACGGCCCAGACUCCUACGGGAGGCAGCAGUGGGGAAUAUUGGACAAGGGGCGAAAGCCUGAUCCAGCAAUGCCGGGUGAGUGAUGAAGGCCUUAGGGUUGUAAAGCUCUUUUACCCGGGAUGAUAAUGACAGUACCGGGAGAAUAAGCUCCGGCUAACUCCGUG